This 451-nucleotide ribosomal RNA is filed under the name uncultured bacterium. Its description in RNAcentral is "bacterial SSU rRNA". It matches the Rfam family "Bacterial small subunit ribosomal RNA", at positions 29 to 524 of the family's 1533-position model. The record is from RNAcentral.
AGCGAACGCUGGCGGCAGGCCUAAUACAUGCAAGUCGAACGGUCUCUUCGGAGGCAGUGGCGGACGGGUGAGUAACGCGUGGGAAUAUGCCCUUUGGUACGGAACAACUGAGGGAAACUUCAGCUAAUACCGUAUGUGCCCUUCGGGGGAAAGAUUUAUCGCCAUUGGAGUAGCCCGCGUUGGAUUAGGUAGUUGGUGGGGUAAAGGCCUACCAAGCCUACGAUCCAUAGCUGGUCUGAGAGGAUGAUCAGCCACACUGGGACUGAGACACGGCCCAGACUCCUACGGGAGGCAGCAGUAGGGAAUCUUGCGGCAAUGGGCGAAAGCCUGACGCAGCCAUGCCGCGUGAAUGAUGAAGGUCUUAGGAUUGUAAAUUACUUUCACCGGGGAAGAUAAUGACGGUACCCGGAGAAGAAGCCCCGGCUAACUUCGUGCCAGCAGCCGCGGUAAU